Molecule: ribosomal RNA, 460 nt
Filed under: uncultured bacterium
Lineage: Bacteria
Description: partial 16S ribosomal RNA
Rfam family: Bacterial small subunit ribosomal RNA
Source: RNAcentral
CCUACGGGAGGCAGCAGUGAGGAAUAUUGGUCAAUGGACGAGAGUCUGAACCAGCCAAGUAGCGUGAAGGAUGACUGCCCUAUGGGUUGUAAACUUCUUUUAUAAAGGAAUAAAACGAGGCACGUGUGCCUUUUUGCAUGUACUUUAUGAAUAAGGAUCGCCUAACUCCGUGCCAGCAGCCGCGGUAAUACGGAGGAUCCGAGCGUUAUCCGGAUUUAUUGGGUUUAAAGGGAGCGUAGAUGGGUUGUUAAGUCAGUUGUGAAAGUUUGCGGCUCAACCGUAAAAUUGCAAUUGAUACUGGCAGUCGUGAGUACAGUUGAGGUAGGCGGAAUGCGUGGUGUAGCGGUGAAAUGCUUAGAUAUCACGAAGAACCCCGAUUGCGAAGGCAGCUUACUAAACUGUGACUGACAUUGAUGCUCGAAAGUGUGGGUAUCAAACAGGAUUAGAUACCCGUGUAGUC